RNAcentral lists this ribosomal RNA (622 nucleotides) under uncultured bacterium. RNAcentral's name for it is "bacterial SSU rRNA". It matches the Rfam family "Bacterial small subunit ribosomal RNA", at positions 202 to 842 of the family's 1533-position model. The record is from RNAcentral.
CAAAGGAGCAAUCCGCUGAAAGAUGGGCUCGCGUCCGAUUAGGUAGUUGGCGGGGCAACGGCCCACCAAGCCGACGAUCGGUAGCCGGACUGAGAGGUUGAACGGCCACAUUGGGACUGAGACACGGCCCAGACUCCUACGGGAGGCAGCAGUGAGGGAUAUUGGUCAAUGGGGGAAACCCUGGACCAGCAACGCCGCGUGAGGGAAGACGGUUUUCGGAUUGUAAACCUCUGUCCUCUGUGAAGAUGAUGACGGUAGCAGAGGAGGAAGCUCCGGCUAACUACGUGCCAGCAGCCGCGGUAAUACGUAGGGAGCAAGCGUUGUCCGGAUUUACUGGGUGUAAAGGGUGCGUAGGCGGCUUUGCAAGUCAGAAGUGAAAUCCAUGGGCUUAACCCAUGAACUGCUUUUGAAACUGCAGAGCUUGAGUGGAGUAGAGGUAGGCGGAAUUCCCGGUGUAGCGGUGAAAUGCGUAGAGAUCGGGAGGAACACCAGUGGCGAAGGCGGCCUGCUGGGCUCUAACUGACGCUGAGGCACGAAAGCGUGGGUAGCAAACAGGAUUAGAUACCCUGGUAGUCCACGCUGUAAACGAUGAUUACUAGGUGUGGGUGGACUGACCCCAUCC